This is a non-coding RNA of Mycena crocata, 102 nucleotides long. Lineage: Eukaryota; Fungi; Basidiomycota; Agaricomycetes; Agaricales; Mycenaceae. The record is from the annotation of a GenBank genome assembly.
GCCUGCAUGGUGAAGUGGUUGUCACGCCUCCCGUAACAUAGGAGUACAUUCCAUUUAUCAACUUUCAGGGGGGAGUGCCUGGUUCGAAUCCAGGUGUAGGCU